AACCCUCUCUCCCUCCUCUUUCUCUCUUUUGACAAAUUCGUUCGAGACUUGGGAGUUUCGACGCAGCAGCCAUAACCGAAGAUUCUUCAGCUAAUACUACUGCAAUACACUGCACCGGAGUAUCUGCUUUUCUCCGGUUGCGGAAUCUCGAAGCCCUAACCUCUGUGAUUCGACCGAGUAGCUAGAUCGAGCGAGCGGCGAGGAAGAAUUGGGUUUGUGGGGAGCGGAGGGAUUAUUGAAUAAUGGCGGCGGAAUUAGGGCAAAAGACGGUGGAGUUCUCCACGCUGGUGAGCCGGGCGUCGGAGGAGUCGUACGUCUCGCUCAAGGAGCUGGUGGAGAAGUCCAGGUCCGCUGACCUCUCCGAUUCAGACAAGAAGAUUGGGAUUCUCCAGUACCUCGUCAAGACCCAACAGCGCAUGCUUUGCCUCAAUGUCCUCGCCAAGUGGUGUCAACAGGUCCCCUUGAUUCAGUACUGUCAACAACUUGCAUCAACAUUAUCAAGUCAUGAUACAUGUUUCACUCAAGCUGCAGAUUCAUUGUUUUUCAUGCAUGAAGGGCUACAACAAGCUCGUGCUCCCAUCUAUGAUGUUCCUUCUGCUAUUGAAAUUCUUCUUACUGGAUCUUACCUACGUUUGCCAAAAUGUAUAGAAGAUGUGGGCAUGCAAAGCACAUUAAAUGAUGAUCAGCAAAAAUCAGCUCUAAAGAAGCUAGAUGCACUUGUUAGGUCUAAACUCCUUGAAGUUUCACUUCCCAAGGAAAUUACAGAAGUAAAGGUUUCUGAUGGUACUGUUUUGCUCCGUGUGGAUGGGGAAUUUAAGGUUCUAGUUACUCUUGGUUAUAGAGGACACUUGUCAAUGUGGAGGAUAUUGCAUCUAGAGCUUCUUGUUGGUGAGAGAAGUGGUAUGAUGAAGCUUGAAGAAUCGCGUAGACAUGCUCUUGGAGAUGAUCUUGAACGGAGAAUGACCACUGCAGAGCAUCCAUUCAUGACGUUGUACUCUAUUCUGCAUGAACUGUGUGUUGCACUUGUUAUGGACACAGUUAUAAGGCAGGUACAAACACUUAGGCAAGGGAGAUGGAAAGAUGCAAUUCGAUUUGAGCUCAUAUCUGAUGGUACUGUCGGACAAGGAGGGAGUGCUGGCUCCAUGCAAAUGAAUCAAGACGGAGAAACUGAUUUCACUGGUUUACGUACUCCUGGCUUAAAAAUUUUGUAUUGGCUGGAGUUAGAUAAAAGCUCCAGUACAUCUGACAUGGGAUCUUGCCCAUAUAUAAAAAUUGAACCAGGUCCAGACCUGCAAAUAAAGUGUCUCCAUACCUCAUUUGUAAUUGAUCCGAUGACUGGAAAGGAAGCAGAAUUUUUCCUUGAUCAAAGUUGCAUCGACGUUGAGAAGUUGCUACUCAGAGCAAUCUGCUGUAACAGAUAUACUCGCUUACUUGAAAUUUAUAAAGAACUGGAGAAAAAUACUCAGGUCUGUCGAGCUCCAGGAGAUGUUCAACUUAAUUGCCAGGGUGAAACUCAAGCUGAAUACAAAAUGAGGGAUAACAAGCUUGACCUUGGAAAAGAUGAAGGUCAAGUAGUCUUGCUUGUACGUGCCUAUGGCUCUUCGUUCUUCACCCUUGGAAUAAAUAUAAGGAUUGGACGCUUCAUUCUUCAGUCAUCCAAGAAUAUUAUAUCAUCAUCAACACUAAUUGAGCAUGAAGAUGCCCUAAACCAGGGGGGACUAUGACUGCAGCUGAUGCUUUUAUAAGCCUGAGAAGCAAAAGCUUAUUACACUUGUUUGCUUGUGUUGGAAGGUUCUUAGGCCUUGAGGUUUUUGAACAUGGUUUAGCAUCAUUGAAGCUGCCAAAGAAUAUUGCCAGUGGUUCAAACUUGUUGCUUAUGAGAUUCCCGGAAUGUGGUAGCUGUUAUUAUUUGCUAAUGCAACUUGACAAGGAUUUCAAACCACUUUUCAAGUUACUAGAAAUUCAGUCAGAUUCUUCAGGAAAAGCUCAAUCAUUUGGUGAUUUAACCAACUUUGUCCGUUCCAAAAGUGUUGAUGUUGGUCAGAUGCAGAUUUAUGAGGAUGUACUGAAUUUGAGUCUUCUUGACUACAGGAAAUUGUUGUCAUCUUUACGUGAUAAUACUACCCAACAAAUUGAAAGCAGUAAUCUUAAUAAAUUUAGCUUGGAAGGUUCUAUGUCUAUUUCUUGUGUUUCUUCUAAUUUCUCAUCCAUUGUUGAUGAAGUGUUUGAACUAGAGAAAGCUCUUCCUUCUAUGACUGGUGCAAAUCCCCCUUAUAGAUUUGCCAGUUCUCCUGCUUCACAUUUUGUUCCGGGGUCUACAAAUUUGCAUAGUUCAAAAGUUGGAACAUCAUCUCCUAAAUGGGAAGGGGGAGUGCAGAUAUUGCAAAAUAAUGUUUCAAUUUACAAGGGGAUAGUACAGUCGGGAUCCACCAGUUCGUUAUCCCCAUUUCCUGGAAGAAGUCAAACUAUGAAGAAAUUGACAGCUUCCAGGUCUGAGCAAGAUUUGGUGUCUCUAAGGUCACCACAUUCUGUUGGAAUUGAAUCUUACACAUCAAUGGAUGAAGAUCAGCUGCCUCGGUCAGCUCAACUUCUAUCUCCACCAAACCGAAAUAGCCUUCCAACUCCUGCAUCAAUUGGAACAUCUAAUGCCCCAAAGAGCUCUCCAGGGGGCACAGUAUCUGCAAGCCUUAGGGCUUCUGGAUCUAACUCAUUAGUUACAAGUCCCCUAUCCCAAGUCACUUCUGCUACAUGUGCAAAUUCAAGUCAUGAUGCAGCUUCUAGACAAAAUAAAAUGCCUAGAAAGCGUACAGUUUCAGAUUUAUUAAAUUCACUUCCAUCACUUCAAGGAAAAGAAUCCAGUGAAGGAUCUUACAAGAGAAGAAAGGUUGUGGAGUCUGCUAGCACUCAUCAUCUUCAGUCACAAAUGCUAGUUUCUUUGGAGAUAUCUGGUAAAACUGAUGGCUACAGUUAUGCUGAUCUCUUAAAUGAAACUCAUAAAGGCAAUGCACCUUCUACUGUAUAUGUUUCUGCCCUUCUUCACGUUAUCAGGCAUUGCUCACUUUGUAUCAAGCAUGCCCGACUUACUAGUCAGAUGGAUGCACUUGAAAUCCCGUAUGUUGAAGAGGUGGGUCUUAGAAGUGCAUCCUCAAAACUGUGGUUCCGACUUCCUUUUGCUAGAGAUGACACAUGGCAACAUAUAUGCUUGCGGCUUGGGAGGCCUGGAAGCAUGUAUUGGGAUGUCAAAAUCAUUGACCAACACUUUCAGGACCUGUGGGAGCUUCAAAAAGGUGGCAGUAGUACUCCAUGGGGUUCUGGUGUUCGAAUUGCAAAUACAUCUGAUGCAGAUUCUCAUAUCCGUUAUGAUUCAGAGGGUGUUGUUUUGAGCUACCAUUCUGUUGAGGCUGAUAGUAUCCGUAAAUUAGUGGCUGAUAUCCAAAGGCUCUCUAAUGCUCGUGCAUUUGCACUUGGAAUGCGGAAGUUACUUGGUGCAAGGACAGAUGAAAAGUUGGAAGAAAGCAGUCCAAAUGUGGAUGGUAAAGUACAAUCUGGACUAAAAAGUGCUGGUGACUCGGUUGAUAGGAUUUCAGACCAAAUGAGGAGAGCAUUUAGAAUUGAGGCUGUUGGACUUAUGAGUCUGUGGUUUAGUUUUGGUCAAGGGGUUCUUGCUCGUUUUGUUGUUGAAUGGGAAUCGGGUAAAGAAGGCUGCACAAUGCAUGUUUCACCUGACCAACUUUGGCCACAUACCAAGUUUCUCGAAGAUUUCAUAGAUGGAGCUGAGGUUUCAUCACUCUUAGAUUGCAUCCGCCUCACAGCCGGACCUUUGCAUGCUCUUGCUGGUGCAACACGACCUGCACGAGCUGCUCCUGUGUCUGGGGUUACUGGUAUUGUAGCACCUGCUCCUAUGUUCAUAAUUGUAAGUUCAUAAUGUCAGAGCUCUGUGUUCAUAAUUCCAUAACUGUA
This is an RNA transcript of Ipomoea nil (Japanese morning glory), 3960 nucleotides long. It is a transcript of the gene named mediator of RNA polymerase II transcription subunit 14-like, with no coding region annotated. The transcript is spliced from 7 exons. NCBI's taxonomy places the organism in Eukaryota, Viridiplantae, Streptophyta, Magnoliopsida, Solanales, Convolvulaceae. The record is from RefSeq and is a predicted model, not a curated record.